This is a long non-coding RNA of Oncorhynchus tshawytscha (Chinook salmon), 1531 nucleotides long. NCBI's taxonomy places the organism in Eukaryota, Metazoa, Chordata, Actinopteri, Salmoniformes, Salmonidae. The record is from Ensembl.
UUAUAAACAUAAUGUAAAUGGUUUAAUACUUUUUUUGACUUACCUCCUUGCGCCGGUUUAGGAGGGGAAUUCCCGCUACAUUCUACUGCAGGUGUCCGCGCUCUGCGCUAUCUCUCGCGUGCACAGAGCACCAAAGCUCCAGGACAGCCCGCUUUCAGCGCGCGACGUGACCGGAAUUAUUUCGCGCCUUUAGCGCGGGAUUGGUACGAAAUCCUCCACGGGACAAGAAAGAGAGGAAAACCCUUACAGAAUCACCCACCACAACAGGACCAAGCGGCGUGGUAACGGGCAACAGCAACAGCGGCGCAAAGAGGAAUGGACAUGGGACGAGGUAUUGGACGGUAAGGGUUGCUACACCUGGGAGGAGAUCCUGGCGGGAAAGGAUCGCCUUCCAUGGGAACAGGUGGAGGCAGCUAGGAGAGCAGAGGCAGACGGAGAGAGGAGUCGGCGAUAUGAGGGAACACGGCUGGCAAGGAAGCCCGAGAGGCAGCCCCAAAAAUUUCUUGGAAGGGGGCACACAGGAAGUGUGGCGAAGCCAGGUAGGAGACCUGCGCCAACUUCCUGUGCUUACCGGGGGGCUGGAGAGACCGGACAGGCACCGUGUUAUGCUGUGAAGCGCACGGUGUCCCCAGUGCGGGUGCAUAGCCCGGUGCGGUACAUUCCAGCUCCGCGUAUCGGCCGGGCUAGAGUGAGCAUUGAGCCAAGUGCCAUGAAGCCGGCUCUACGCAUCUGGUCUCCAGUGCGUCUCCUUGGGCCGGCUUACAUGGCACCAGCCUUGCGCACGGUGUCCCCGGUUCGCCUGCAUAGCCCAGUGCGGGCUAUUCCACCUGGCCGCACUGGCAGGGCGACCGGGACCAUUCUACCGGGUAAGGUUGGGCAGGCUCAGUGCUCAAGAGCUCCAGUGCGCCUGCACGGUCCGGUCUAUCCGUCACCAGCUCCACACACCAGCCCUCCGGUGGCAGCCCCCCGCACCAGGCUGUCUCUCCGGCUCAUCCUUACAGGGGCUCCCGCCUGUCCAGCGCUGCCGGAGCCUUCCUCCUCUCCAGCGCUACCAGAGCUCCCGCCCGUCAUUCCAGAGGCGCUAGAGCCCCUCAUUCCAGAGGCGCCAGAGCUACUCAGUCCAGCGCUGCCAGAGCCUUCCUCUCCAGCGUUGCCGGAGCUUCCCGUCUGCCCAGCGCCAUCUGAGCUACCCGUCUGCCCAGUGCCGCCUGAGCCACCCGUCUGCCCAGCGCCACCUGAGCCACCCGUCUGCCCAGCGCCGCCAGUGCCGCCAGUCUGCCCAGCACCGCCAGUGCCGCCAGUCUGCCAAGGGCCGCCAGUGCCGCCAGUCAGCCAAGGGCCGCCAGUGCCGCCAGUCAGCCAGGGGCCGCCAGUCAGCCAGGGGCCGCCAGUGCCGCCAGUCAGCCAGGGGCCGCCAGUGCCGCCAGUCAGCCAGGGGCCGCCAGUGCCGCCAGUCAGCCAGGGGCCGCCUGUGCCGCCAGUCAGCCAGGGGCCGCCAGUGCCGCCAGGGCCGCCAGUGCCCGCCAGCCAG